CUGGUUACGUAAUCCACCAUCAUUUCUGAAGCCAAUCUGUAAAGGACAAUGUGAAAAUAAAAUAUCCAAGUCAGCAAGGCACGGCUCAGAUUGGCACGGCAAUGUAAAAAGAGUAUACAAGUACGGGAAGGCAACAGUUGCAGAGAGGGGAGUGGACGCUCUGGGUCUAUUCCUAUUGGGGUGAGCUGUUGUAACUUCUCAAGGUUUCUGCUCUGUUCUGCGUUGAACCGUGGCGUUAUGCAUUUCAUAGACUUCUGAUGGAGUUUUCCACAACAUUUGGUGCUGUGACACGGGGGAGAGCAACCUGACUUUUUGAUCUGUUUCGCUCGACUUGGACCCAGACAUCCCUCUGGCUACAACUUAAAAAAAGGUAAGAGACCUCAUUCAAACAUCUCUCAGGGGCUGGCUGUUUUCCAGCCGAGCAUUAACAGUGAAAGAUCGCAUGUCCUCCUCAUCCACAACAUUUUGGGGUUCAAUUUGGCAGAACUAUUUCCCUAUAAUAAUGAAUCUGGCUGAAUAACAUUGGCCAAUGGGAGCACAGGGGUGUCUUCAAUAGUAGGGAUUGGUUUUCCUACCAUCACGUGAAUACUGUUGGAUCAGUAUAUAAAUAGGGAUUGGUUUCUCUACACUUGCAGGUGAAUACUGUUGGGUCAGUAUAAAAACUGUUGGGUCAGUAUAAAAACUGUUGGGUCAGUAUAUACUGUAUAUACAAUCGAUUUGCACACAGAGGGUUAAGGAAGUGAGAAGGAUUGAUUAUGUCUAAUGAAGUUGGUAAAAUAUAACGUUUUUAACAUUAUUAGCAGGAAUUGGAUAGCCUACAAGAAAGUAAACAGUUGAAUUAUGUAUCUGUAGGAAUUGGUUGGCCUACAAUUGAAUAUAUAUAUAUAUAUAUAUAUCGUUUUGACUAUAAGGUAGUAGGAAUUGGUUUGGUUGGUAAUAGAACCGGUUGAGUAUAGAGGAAGUGAUAGACCAGUGGUCGGAUAGAAUUGUGUCGAUUGAGAGACGUAGUUAGAUAAAGAAAGAUCAAAUUGUGUGUGUAUAUAAUGGGUUACUAGAGAUUUGGUGUAAUAAUACAAGAGUAAGAAGACAAUUAGAAAUCAUGGGAGAUAAACCCUCCAAAAUCACCAGUGAAAGUGCUGAUCCAGGUGAAUUUUUUUUUUUUACUUGUGCACCCACACGUAGACGUACGUAAGUAGGGUAGACGUACUCAGAGAAGUUCAGAGUGGUCCCCUUACGGAACAUUUGAUAAAGAUAAGGUUAAAAGCACUGCAUGACUGUCUAAAAAGGUUUGGGAAUUAAAGUCUCAGGCAAAGAUUGGCGUAGCUUCCGCCGAAAAAUAUAAUCGCUAAGAUAUCAGAACCUUCGUCAAGAAUUUAAAUACAUUAAAUCACUGGAACACUUUAAAUUACAAUGUCCCUAUGAUUUUCCUCCUCCUCUUUCAGCAUAUGGAGAUGAUGAUGAUUUGGCCUGUUUAGGUGCUACCUAUAAAUAUAAUAUGUAAACGUUGAUAAUUCUGAAGUGAUUCAUCAAUAGCUCUAAUUCUGAUUCGGACAGGCGAGAUGGAGAGAGACAGGGCGCUGCCACUGAACUUUGAAGAAAUCACAAAGGGAGGGACGGGUGAGCUAUUCACCAAUAUUGCAUGAGUGGUGUGAGAAAAUCCUGUCUGUAGUCUAUUUGACUUUUCCUUCAAUUCCCUUAUGGGAUAAAAUGAUUUCCUUAUGCGUUAUCAAGGGUUGUAAUUAAAAUGUUAUUUGUUAUUCUGAUUAGUUUAUUUAUUUAUUUUUCCUUCUGAAGAAAUGUUGGGGGGCAGUAAUGCAAAGCUAUUCCUACACAUUCCUAUGCCCUCAUAGAAAUGUCAUCCUGCAGGUGGUUUCUGAAACUAAUUUAAUGUUUGUAAGAAUCCAUUGAGCUCCCUGGUUAGGGAGGGUUUCCUCCCAGGGUUGAGAGAGAAAAAGCCCUGUUGUAUACUCCAGCCAAUAACAAGCUACUCUAAUCAGUGGUUGAUUACUGUAACCAAUUAUAUCAAUUUCAUACUCUGUUGGCUACAUAUGGGGAGGGUUUUACGAUUCGCCACCGACACUGUUGGGUUACCUUGGAAGCAUGUAUCACGGUGUGAGUCAUGUGUCCAAAAGGUGAAUGGUCAGUGCAUGCAGAAAAUGUACUACAUGCACCGAUUUGCCAAGAACACAAUGCAGGAAAACGAGUAGACACUUCUUUGUCUUGACUACCAGUCCCCUGGGGCCCAUUAGUAAAAUAUGCAAAUUGAUUUGGCAAGGCCUAUGAGAACCCCAGCAUCCCCUCCAUGUGCUAUCCCAGAUCUGCAUCUGUUGGAUGACACUAUGAUGAAGUACUGUAUAGCUCUCUGACUAACUGUAUCCGAGCUGUUCACUCACAGGUCUCUGCUGCCCAGACUCCCCCAGAUGACUGUCCCCAUCACAAUCUCCAGUCUGGAGAUUGGGUAAUGGUCAGGUGGCACAAUAGAGGUAAAGAACCUUUAAAACCCAGGUGGAACGGACCACAUCAGAUCGCCCUCACCACCCCAACAGCGGUAAAGUGCUUAGGAAAAGACACCUGGAUCCACGCCUCCCACUGCAAGCAAGUAGCAAAGCAGGAAGAAGAUGUUACUCCUUCAACAAAGUAGGGGCACUCUGCUCAUCCUGGGACUCGCAGCUAUUGUGGCUGUGGGCAUCCUCUGGGUGGUAGCAGACUUCGAGGCAGGUGAAAGUGCUAGUAACCUCUCCCCGACCUCUCCGCUCCAACAAGGCCCAGCUUCCACAGGGUAAAGCCAAGAAGAGUACGCAUGAAACCUGCCUGGACUCUGAUGACCCCACAGACCUGAAGAGG
Non-coding RNA from Salmo salar (Atlantic salmon), 2844 nucleotides. NCBI's taxonomy places the organism in Eukaryota, Metazoa, Chordata, Actinopteri, Salmoniformes, Salmonidae. The record is from RefSeq and is a predicted model, not a curated record.